Ruditapes philippinarum (Manila clam) is the source of this 1301-nucleotide long non-coding RNA. RefSeq lists it as uncharacterized. NCBI's taxonomy places the organism in Eukaryota, Metazoa, Mollusca, Bivalvia, Venerida, Veneridae. The record is from RefSeq and is a predicted model, not a curated record. The transcript is spliced from 4 exons.
UAAUCGCUAUUGACCCACCAUUCGCGGUAGGUACAUACGGGGACACCAGUGAGGAGAGGUUACGGUAGAAACCGUAAGGUUACGGUAAUAACCGUAACUCCGCCCUCUACAUCCAACAUGGCUACUGUAAUAGCAAAAAGCGACGAUGAAGCUGAAAAAAUGAUUUUACAACUUGAAACUUAAAACAGUGUCCGAUUUGUGGCAAGGAAAAAUAAGAAGAAGGGUGUAAGCUGGGCUACGAGCUCUGGACUGAUGAGGCUUUAGCCGUUUAGGAAAAAAUGGAAGGAAAUAUCUAGCCGUACAGCUAGCCAAAAGUUCAAGCCAUAUAGAGCUGAACAAGUUUGGUUGAAAAUCAUGGAUGAUUUUAGCAAUUGUCAUCAAAGAACUUCUGGUUACUGUUAAGUUUGAUUAUGAAACUAUCAACUAACCACUUCCAAAACAAAUUGCUUAUUUGUGGAUUUUAGGAUUUCUAGGUCUGGUUGGGUAUACAGUAUGGAAGUUUUAUAUUAAGCGGAUGUGAAAAACCAAAUCAAGGGUAAUGGAUGACACCAUCAAUGAAACAGAGCAGAAAUAUAGCACAACAAUAAUGACAAUAGUGUACACAAACACAAGAAAUGGAUCAGCUUGAAAUUAAUGGAUUUUUAGCAGUUAUAGAUUUUUUUAAGUUACAGUAUGUUUCAUUUGUAAAUGAUGUUUUAAAUAUUAGUCAGAACUGCUUUUUUCCAUUGUUAUAAGGUAUAUGUUGUAAAAUUUUGCUAAUGUCAAAUUUUUUACCUGUUUAAAUAACUCUAAUUUUCACAUAAACCCCGGCACAUGAGUGUAAUAAAGCCAUUUGAUAAAUCAAUAUUACUCUAGUGUAAUAACACUUUGUCAUGACGUCAUAGAUUGCGCGCUAAUGUUAGCGUAACACUAUAGGCGCGUCAAUGAAAAUGACUCACUUUAACUUUAAGCCGUUCUCUUUUUGGGUAUGUGGUAAAUAGAAUAUUAUAUUCUUAUAGGUUCCAUACUAAAUUUAUUGAACAAGUUGAAUAAAACAAUAUUCUCGCCAGAGGCUCGUAUAAUAUUAUUUUAUUCACCUCCUUCAAUAAAUUUAGUGUUAAACCUUAGUAACAUGUACCCUCUAUUUAGGAUGCUUUUUGAAGAAAUUUACUGAAAGUAGCUUGUUUUUAUACUGUAAAUUAAAACUAAUAUUCAUGCUAUUGAUAUAUUUUUUUAAGAAACCUCUUUAAAGUUAAAGUAAUGAUAUAUGUACUUACACAGAAUCAAAUCCUUUUUAUUAUCAAAAAAUUUAGCUCUUUAUA